Molecule: long non-coding RNA, 856 nt
Filed under: Salmo salar (Atlantic salmon)
Lineage: Eukaryota; Metazoa; Chordata; Actinopteri; Salmoniformes; Salmonidae
Description: lncRNA (ENSSSAG00000112342.1)
Source: RNAcentral
ACCCACACAUGCAUACACACUACGCAUGUACAGACAGAGACACUAUAGACAUACGCAUACAGUAUGUUGAAUGCACCCACACACAUAGAGCACGUACCGGUAUCAGGGUGAUCUGGCGGGGCGGCGGCCCGUGCGGUGUGGCUGCUGCAGGCAGAGUGUCUGUCUGUUCCCUGGGAGCUGAAUCAGCGACGGAGAGUUUAGGGAUGCAGAGAGGAGAGGAGGGUCAUGGGAGAUGUUGCUUUUCUCACACCGGAUGGGAGGAAGAGGAUGAGAGGAGGAAAAAAAGACCAAAAAGAACCAAUGCGCCACACAUCCUGAGGUCACCGCAACGCAGGGCCUGUAUCAACCUCCAAAGUACGGAUACAAAAAAAUGAAUGUGUCGAUCCCAUCACAGGGAGACUUCAGAGGCAAAAGGGUUGAGAAGAGAAAAAGUAAGCAAAACAUUUCUAAAACAAUACCCUGUCAGCUGACGAUGCUCUGGAGGAGUGGAUGAAGACAUAAGCAUUGAUUUUGAAAUGAAAAGUGGAAAGGUGGACUUCAGAACGCGACGGACCAUCUCUGGGAGAGAAUGGAAGGGCAGCGUGAUCGGAGUAACCCCCCACCGUCCAGGGGCUUAUAUACCCAGCGUUGAGGGGCGGAGCAGUGAAGGUCAACCCAGUGAGUCAGUGACUCUGCAGGAUGUGCUAUUGACUCAACGGAGAGAGACGGUGGCAUCCCCUCCCUGGUGUGGUUGGGCAGGUCCAGGACCACUUUGGGAUGUGCUUACCUCAGUGGUGUCCCGGAAUAGAAUGGGCAAGAUCCCCAGAUAGCUCAACUCUGAUAGAGAGCAUGGGGAACUCUCUGACAGAGUGCAGAC